Molecule: transfer RNA, 120 nt
Filed under: Fusarium falciforme
Lineage: Eukaryota; Fungi; Ascomycota; Sordariomycetes; Hypocreales; Nectriaceae
Description: tRNA-Leu
Source: RNAcentral
GGUUGUUUGGCCGAGCGGUUUAAGGCGCCUGAUUCAAGAAAUAUCUUGACCACCUGAAGUCAACUGCGGGAAUACUCAGGUAUCGUAAGAUGCAGAGUUCGAAUCUCUCUUAGCUAACCA